GAUAAACGCUGGCGGCGUGCCUAAUACAUGCAAGUCGAGCGAACGGACGAGAAGCUUGCUUCUCUGAUGUUAGCGGCGGACGGGUGAGUAACACGUGGAUAACCUACCUAUAAGACUGGGAUAACUUCGGGAAACCGGAGCUAAUACCGGAUAAUAUUUUGAACCGCAUGGUUCAAAAGUGAAAGACGGUCUUGCUGUCACUUAUAGAUGGAUCCGCGCUGCAUUAGCUAGUUGGUAAGGUAACGGCUUACCAAGGCAACGAUGCAUAGCCGACCUGAGAGGGUGAUCGGCCACACUGGAACUGAGACACGGUCCAGACUCCUACGGGAGGCAGCAGUAGGGAAUCUUCCGCAAUGGGCGAAAGCCUGACGGAGCAACGCCGCGUGAGUGAUGAAGGUCUUCGGAUCGUAAAACUCUGUUAUUAGGGAAGAACAUAUGUGUAAGUAACUGUGCACAUCUUGACGGUACCUAAUCAGAAAGCCACGGCUAACUACGUGUCAGCAGCCGCGGUAAUACGUAGGUGGCAAGCGUUAUCCGGAAUUAUUGGGCGUAAAGCGCGCGUAGGCGGUUUUUUAAGUCUGAUGUGAAAGCCCACGGCUCAACCGUGGAGGGUCAUUGGAAACUGGAAAACUUGAGUGCAGAAGAGGAAAGUGGAAUUCCAUGUGUAGCGGUGAAAUGCGCAGAGAUAUGGAGGAACACCAGUGGCGAAGGCGACUUUCUGGUCUGUAACUGACGCUGAUGUGCGAAAGCGUGGGGAUCAAACAGGAUUAGAUACCCUGGUAGUCCACGCCGUAAACGAUGAGUGCUAAGUGUUAGGGGGUUUCCGCCCCUUAGUGCUGCAGCUAACGCAUUAAGCACUCCGCCUGGGGAGUACGACCGCAAGGUUGAAACUCAAAGGAAUUGACGGGGACCCGCACAAGCGGUGGAGCAUGUGGUUUAAUUCGAAGCAACGCGAAGAACCUUACCAAAUCUUGACAUCCUUUGACAACUCUAGAGAUAGAGCCUUCCCCUUCGGGGGACAAAGUGACAGGUGGUGCAUGGUUGUCGUCAGCUCGUGUCGUGAGAUGUUGGGUUAAGUCCCGCAACGAGCGCAACCCUUAAGCUUAGUUGCCAUCAUUAAGUUGGGCACUCUAAGUUGACUGCCGGUGACAAACCGGAGGAAGGUGGGGAUGACGUCAAAUCAUCAUGCCCCUUAUGAUUUGGGCUACACACGUGCUACAAUGGACAAUACAAAGGGCAGCGAAACCGCGAGGUCAAGCAAAUCCCAUAAAGUUGUUCUCAGUUCGGAUUGUAGUCUGCAACUCGACUACAUGAAGCUGGAAUCGCUAGUAAUCGUAGAUCAGCAUGCUACGGUGAAUACGUUCCCGGGUCU
This 1372-nucleotide ribosomal RNA is filed under the name uncultured bacterium. Its description in RNAcentral is "bacterial SSU rRNA". It matches the Rfam family "Bacterial small subunit ribosomal RNA", at positions 28 to 1381 of the family's 1533-position model. The record is from RNAcentral.